CGAACAGGAUUAGAUACCCUGGUAGUCCAUGCCGUAAACGUUGGGCACUAGGUGUGGGGACAUUCCACGUUUUCCGCGCCGUAGCUAACGCAUUAAGUGCCCCGCCUGGGGAGUACGGCCGCAAGGCUAAAACUCAAAGGAAUUGACGGGGGCCCGCACAAGCGGCGGAGCAUGCGGAUUAAUUCGAUGCAACGCGAAGAACCUUACCAAGGCUUGACAUGAACCGGAAUGAUGCAGAGAUGUGUCAGCCACUUGUGGCCGGUUUACAGGUGGUGCAUGGUUGUCGUCAGCUCGUGUCGUGAGAUGUUGGGUUAAGUCCCGCAACGAGCGCAACCCUCGUUCCAUGUUGCCAGCGGGUUAUGCCGGGGACUCAUGGGAGACUGCCGGGGUCAACUCGGAGGAAGGUGGGGACGACGUCAAAUCAUCAUGCCCCUUAUGUCUUGGGCUUCACGCAUGCUACAAUGGCCGGUACAAAGGGUUGCGAUACUGUGAGGUGGAGCUAAUCCCAAAAAGCCGGUCUCAGUUCGGAUUGAGGUCUGCAACUCGACCUCAUGAAGUUGGAGUCGCUAGUAAUCGCAGAUCAGCAACGCUGCGGUGAAUACGUUCCCGGGCCUUGUACACACCGCCCGUCAAGUCACGAAAGUUGGUAACACCCGAAGCCGGUGGCCUAACCCUCUGUGGGAG
This 684-nucleotide ribosomal RNA is filed under the name extreme arid zone bacterium HX-IIF63. RNAcentral describes it as "bacterial SSU rRNA". It matches the Rfam family "Bacterial small subunit ribosomal RNA", at positions 769 to 1449 of the family's 1533-position model. The record is from RNAcentral.